GACGGAGGGCGCGAACGUUGUUCGGAAUCACUGGGCGUAAAGGGCGCGUAGGCGGGAACGUAAGUCAGACGUGAAAUCCCGGGGCUCAACUCCGGGCCUGCGUUUGAAACUGCGUUCCUUGAGUUCGGGAGAGGAAGGCGGAAUUCCAGGUGUAGCGGUGGAAUGCGUAGAUAUCUGGAAGAACACCAGUGGCGAAGGCGGCCUUCUGGACCGACACUGACGCUGAGGCGCGAAAGCGUGGGGAGCAAACAGGAUUAGAAACCCCAGUAGU
This 271-nucleotide ribosomal RNA is filed under the name uncultured bacterium. RNAcentral describes it as "partial 16S ribosomal RNA". It matches the Rfam family "Bacterial small subunit ribosomal RNA", at positions 524 to 794 of the family's 1533-position model. The record is from RNAcentral.